This 480-nucleotide ribosomal RNA is filed under the name uncultured bacterium. Its description in RNAcentral is "partial 16S ribosomal RNA". It matches the Rfam family "Bacterial small subunit ribosomal RNA", at positions 29 to 507 of the family's 1533-position model. The record is from RNAcentral.
AUGAACGCUGGCGGCGUGCUUAACACAUGCAAGUCGAACGAAGCACUUUAUUUGAUUUCCUUCGGGACUGAUUAUUUUUUGACUGAGUGGCGGACGGGUGAGUAACGCGUGGGUAACCUGCCUUGUACAGGGGGAUAACAGUUGGAAACGGCUGCUAAUACCGCAUAAGCGCACGGCAUCGCAUGAUGCAGUGUGAAAAACUCCGGUGGUAUAAGAUGGACCCGCGUUGGAUUAGCUAGUUGGUGAGGUAACGGCCCACCAAGGCGACGAUCCAUAGCCGACCUGAGAGGGUGACCGGCCACAUUGGGACUGAGACACGGCCCAAACUCCUACGGGAGGCAGCAGUGGGGAAUAUUGCACAAUGGGCGAAAGCCUGAUGCAGCGACGCCGCGUGAGCGAAGAAGUAUUUCGGUAUGUAAAGCUCUAUCAGCAGGGAAGAUAAUGACGGUACCUGACUAAGAAGCACCGGCUAAAUACGUG